This 221-nucleotide long non-coding RNA is filed under the name Lathyrus oleraceus (garden pea). RNAcentral describes it as "Pisum sativum (pea) long non-coding RNA (PSAT_LNC013536)". The record is from RNAcentral. Lineage: Eukaryota; Viridiplantae; Streptophyta; Magnoliopsida; Fabales; Fabaceae.
GCAAUUUUGCCAUUUUAAAUUAGUUGUGCUUCUUUGAGUCAAUCGGGAUCGUCGGUUCAAAUUUAUCAAUGAUCUUCAUUAGCAAUCCUUGACCAUUUUAAUUCAUCCAAUCAAAGUUAGAAAUAACCAAAUAAUAAGCAAUCAAGAAAAUAAGAAAAAUAAAAGAAUAUCUUCUCAUUUCCAAUGAGAAGUUGCCAUGCGCUCAUAUGAGCACCACUCCC